Molecule: long non-coding RNA, 1381 nt
Filed under: Setaria italica (foxtail millet)
Lineage: Eukaryota; Viridiplantae; Streptophyta; Magnoliopsida; Poales; Poaceae
Description: long non-coding RNA (SITA_LNC004909)
Source: RNAcentral
GCCGUCUCGCCAUCUCAUCGAGUACGGAGUAAGUCAUGCCUUCCUGCACUCUCAAUCUCUCGUCUUAUAAUUUCUCAUUUUGUCAGUUGAGGUUUGGCCAUAGGCAGAGCUCCCCAUACAUACAGCAGGAUGGGGCAGCUGCCCCAGCUACUGGCAGCUCAAAACUCCUAUUUCCCCUUCUUAUCCAUGGCGUCCUGCAGCCUGCUCACGGGUACAUAACGGAUGGUACCUGCACCGUCCCUUCCAUUAAGGCGAGGUAAGGAGGUUGCCCCUGCCGACAUGGAGAUCCCCCACCCAACCUGCUAGCCACCCUGUCGCCCUAGCGAGUGAAUCCCAGUCACAAGCAGGUAGGCGGCGGACAGCCAUGGUUGAGUCGAAGAAGCUGGCAGCUGUGACGAUUUCAUGAUUUGGAGAAGACGACUAGAGAGAUACGGGCCUACAAAGGCCGAGAUAGUUAUGUUUUGGGCCAUUCAUUCGGAGAAAAAAGCCCAAGAAGCUAUAUACCCAUUUUCCUUUUCCUUUCUUUGGAGAUUGUAUAUAAGUGUAUACUUCUACGUGUAUACGGAGUAUUUGGAAGACGCUCUGCAGCUGAUGUAGCGUCAGCAGGCACGAUCGCUACUGGCUGUUCUGCCCCACCAAUUUUGGUCCAGCUCCGCCAUUGGGUUUGGCAUGGUGUGUUAGUGUGCAAGUGGAUCCAUGGAUGCUUGAUCAUCGGUUUUAUUAAUCUUGGUCAUUGUAUUUCAUCGUUCCCCGGAUUAAAUUUUAGCUCCUGUCACAUCAAUUGUUUGGAUACUAAUUAGGAGUAUUAAAUAUAGGCUAAUUACAAAACCAAUUUCACAACCCCUAGGCUAAAUUGCAAGACGAAUCUAUUAAACCUAAUUAGUCUAUGAUUUGACAAUAUGAUGCUACAGUAAACAUUCGCUAAUGAUGGAUUAAUUAGGCUUAAUAGAUUCAUCUCGCGAUUUAGCCUAGGGGUUCUGCAAUUAGUUUUGUAAUUACCUCAUGUUUAGUCCUUCUAAUUAGUAUCCGAAUAUCCAAUGUGACACGGACUAAACUUUAGCUUCAGGAUCUAAACACCCCUAAGAUUUGUUCAUAAGAAAAUAAUGUUCAUUUAUCGAUUACCAUAACCUUCAUAUAGAGGCUCAUUUUACGUUUCACACAGCCUCAAAAACUUUUGUGCAGCCCUGGUAAUCACCGAUGAACCGAGAUGACGUGUUGUGAAGGAGUAGGCAGUAAAGAGGAAAUGUCACCGAAGAUGGCGACGGCGAGAAAGGAGAAAAAUAAAAGCUGAGAGAGGAAAAUAAAGAAGGCAGGCGCGGCACUUUUUAAACCCUCUUUCUUCCUGCUGUUUGUCCUCGUAAAUCUUUUCUAUGAGAAAAUA